RNAcentral lists this ribosomal RNA (253 nucleotides) under uncultured bacterium. Its description in RNAcentral is "partial 16S ribosomal RNA". It matches the Rfam family "Bacterial small subunit ribosomal RNA", at positions 524 to 776 of the family's 1533-position model. The record is from RNAcentral.
UACAGAGGUCCCAAGCGUUGUUCGGAUUCACUGGGCGUAAAGGGUGCGUAGGUGGCCGGUUAAGUCUGACGUGAAAUCUCCGAGCCAAACUCGGAAACUGCAUCGGAAACUAUCCGGCUCGAGGGUUGGAGGGGGGACUGGAAUACUUGGUGUAGCAGUGAAAUGCGUAGAUAUCAAGUGGAACACCAGUGGCGAAGGCGAGUCCCUGGACAACUCCUGACACUGAGGCACGAAAGCUAGGGGAGCAAACAGG